RNAcentral lists this long non-coding RNA (1450 nucleotides) under Hordeum vulgare. Its description in RNAcentral is "long non-coding RNA (HVUL_LNC019590)". Lineage: Eukaryota; Viridiplantae; Streptophyta; Magnoliopsida; Poales; Poaceae. The record is from RNAcentral.
CUACAGCCAGACCUCCUCUGAUACCAACGCUUGUGGCACCCCGGCUUAGAGGAAACCGGAACGCCCCGUAUUCCAGCCCAGGGACAAGUCUUCUGGAAUACGGCACCGUUGGCAUAGAACAAAUCAGCUCUUUAUUACUAUGAAAAAAGGUUACAAGGGUACUUGGAUUACAUCGCCACGGCGAUAUUACGCCUGCCUACGGUAAUUCUACACUAGCAACGGAACAACGAGGUGGUGAUGGGCUCCCGUCUGCAGUGACUCUGGCUGGAACGUGUAUCCUAGAUCGCAACUUGGGAUCCUCGACAAGCAAGCAAUCAUGGCAUGACCUGCAAACUGGCAUGACACGUCAGGUGAGUACUUUGAAUGUACUCGCAAGCUCACAACAAACAUCAGCAUUAAGACAAGACAACAUCAUAGUAAUCAAUAUUAGGUAAAGAUUCAUCAGCACCAAAGGGAUAGUUGAAAAUAACUAUACCAGGCUACUCUCACCGUACUCUGGUGACCAACUCGUGAUCUCACCAAGAUCCUUCAGUGAAUAUCCUCAACACGGACACCAAGACUUGUCACCGGCAUGAUGCCCAACUGCUACCAUACUCAUACGAGUUCUUCCAUCAUUAUCAUCACUAUCAUGGUUAUGGUUGACCACCUAGUAAGGUCUGGACGGGUGUCCAAUACCGUGGACGCGGCUAUUCAAAUAGAUUUUUCACUCUGCAGAGGUUGUGCACUUUACCCACAUCAUGGAGCGUCUGACCUCGUGAUCCCAUUCGGGUGGACCUGUGUUGCUCCAACAAAACUUGCCUGACCCGUGACUCCCCCUCCAUACCACCGGCAUUCAUCCUCCCCCGGAGUCGUGCCCUGGGUGGCCCCUGUGUCCUCAUGACACCUGCCACCAUCGUGGCCAAACUAAACUGUCCCAAACGAAGACGGGCCCAAACAACUCAACAGGGCUCACAAGGUUACAAUCGCCUACCAGGCCAGGGUAGCGCGCAUAACCUUUCCUCUUUGGUGGUACAAAUAAAAGAGCACGCGAUCGGACCAAGUCAAGGCCAUCCCAUACCGGCAAAUGUGGCUGAACGGAUAAGCCCCAACAGGUGACUCCUGAUCAACCAACUAAGUAUAUUAUCCCCCAAAUAAUAUUUAGAUCAUAGCUGACACUCCAAUAUCAUAGUAAUCCAGUAACCAAUAAGCUCAAGCCACUGCUAUUGAUUCAUAUCCAUAGACUGCCGGAUGAAACCUAAAAUAAUCAUAGACAAUAAUCUUGAACAGCAUGGCACUAACUAGUGUGUAAAAUACUAGUUACUAAUCCCGUACUCAACAUGGUAGUCACCUCAGAAUUUAUUCAAACAUUGCAUAAUCUAAUCCAUACUACAAAUAAUUAUGAUUGCGACUAAAUUAAUUGAUUAAACUAUGAUAUUGCAAUGCAAUUAUGCAAAUGAGGGUUGUGGCUUGC